This 61-nucleotide microRNA precursor is filed under the name Pristionchus pacificus. Its description in RNAcentral is "mir-8364 microRNA precursor family". It matches the Rfam family "mir-8364 microRNA precursor family". The record is from Rfam by way of RNAcentral. Lineage: Eukaryota; Metazoa; Nematoda; Chromadorea; Rhabditida; Neodiplogasteridae.
UCUUCAUUUCACGUGCUCUCUCACCGGUCAGAGUGACGAGAGAGUACGAGGAAUGAAGAGA